AGGCUGCCAUCUCUGGUAGCACUCAGCCAGCCACGGAACAGCAUCAGGGACUCGGCCAAACCACUAUAUGCUUAUAGUUCUACAGCAGAUUUUGUAAUCAGAGGACAGAAAAGAACACAUUGGAAGUAAUCAUAUUUUGAUGAAUGUACAUGAAGGUUUCUUCCUGCAAUUUAAAGAAUAAUACCUUCCACAAUUGCUUUUGAUGAAUUUCUGCUCUGCAUCUCAGAAGAUGAUCCUGUAUUUGUUCCUUUAACCU
Molecule: long non-coding RNA, 256 nt
Organism: Cygnus atratus (black swan)
Lineage: Eukaryota; Metazoa; Chordata; Aves; Anseriformes; Anatidae
Exons: 3
Source: RefSeq, a predicted model, not a curated record